Molecule: ribosomal RNA, 633 nt
Filed under: Triticum aestivum (bread wheat)
Lineage: Eukaryota; Viridiplantae; Streptophyta; Magnoliopsida; Poales; Poaceae
Description: partial small subunit ribosomal RNA
Source: RNAcentral
AUGUGGUCACUGCCCCUGCUCCAUCCGACCUCCGUGGCGGCCGAGAGCCUGAUCCGCGCCGACGCCGUGCAGGCGGCGACCGGGGUGGGCGUGGAGAGGGCCGAUGCGGUAGCCGCGAGCGGGGCGGUGGCGGCCAAGGCCAGGGAGGACGAGGUUAGGGAGUACAAGAGUGACGUGUUGAACCCCUCCGCGGAGGAGUUCGUGCCGCUCUCCCGCCGCCAGGGGGACGGUGCACGCCGCCUGUCGGCCGACACGCCCGUCUUCGUCUCGCCCGACUACUAUGCUCCUCCGUCCACCGACUCUGUCCAUGCAGGUGGCCAGUUUCCUUCCGCCGCAACCUUCUCCACUGUCUCCCCAGUUCAUCCUCCGUCCCUUGCUGCCCGAGAUUCUCAUCUGCUCAGGCCGCGAGGAAGCCACGUGAGGAGGAGAGACCUCGUCUCGAGAAUCUCGGGAGGAGGGGCUCAACCAGAGAGGAGCAGAUGCCAGCCAGGUAGUUGGCUCGGCUUGACGCCGUCCUUCAUGUAUGGGCCGUGGGAGACCCUAGCGCCAUCCUUCAGGUGUCUUCACGGCUGCAGGAGUGUAUGUGAGCCCCCAACCAUCUCUCUAUUGCAAGAGCAGAUGCAGACGUCAUGA